RNAcentral lists this non-coding RNA (26 nucleotides) under Homo sapiens (human). Lineage: Eukaryota; Metazoa; Chordata; Mammalia; Primates; Hominidae. The record is from RNAcentral.
ACCCUUUGAAGGAACUGGAUCGCCAC